Molecule: non-coding RNA, 2018 nt
Organism: Callorhinus ursinus (northern fur seal)
Lineage: Eukaryota; Metazoa; Chordata; Mammalia; Carnivora; Otariidae
Source: RefSeq, a predicted model, not a curated record
UGUUGAUGUCCAGGAUCGAUAAUGAAACUUUCUGAUGUCUUACACACCUUUAUCUCUGCUGAAUGCCCCGGAUCUCUCAGAGGCAAGGCAGAAGCAGCUGAUGAAGUGGUCACAGUCCCCUAAGAGGAGGCCAGUGGGUGGAAUUCCCAACAACUCCAGCUCUGAAGUUUGGAAGACAAACGACUUGGGUUUCGGACGAAUGGGAGUGUCAAGUUAUUCCAGCCUGAUGAGAUAACAGCUCAGAGGAUCACGAGGAAUCGAUUCCUCCAGAAGAGGAAAGCCAGCUGGCACAGGAGCUCCGCAGGGCCUUCUGCUAAAGGGAAAAAAGUGAUUGGCAGCCCUGAGCCCAUUGGUAGGGCUUAUGGACUGUGAGCAUCUCUGUAAGGAGUCUGGCUGGGCCAGAUCCUGGGGGACCCUGGAUUUCAGAAUCCUGAGAUCCCGCAGUGAAGUCUCUCUGAAGGUCUUACGUGAAGCAUACAAACCUGGCUGCCAGUGUGACACGUUCACAGUGCAUCUUGAAGAGAGGAGUCAACUAUGUUAAAGAGUACAUCUUUAGAAACCUUUGUAGCUACACCUUGGCCCAGCAAUUUAUAUUCUAUUCUGGCCACUGUGCUUAGGAGAGCUUAUGGCCAGAAAGACCACAAUCUAAGUACAGAAAAGCUUUCUGGAUGUAAUCCACAGGAGGCAUCGAAGUCAAUUCAGCAAACUCUUUCUGUUUUCUCUGCUCCCAUUUGCCAUAGUGCCUGGAGUUUUGAGACUUCUAGAAAACUGCAUGAUUGAAAAGAAGUCAUCCUGCUACACUCAGCUACCUUAGAGAGAGACAGUUGGGUCUGGAAGGUUGUUCAGUGCGCAGUGAAAAUGCAAACAUUUCUGGACUAAAUUGUUGUCAACUCCUAUUCUGGGUAAUUAAAGAGAACAAGAGGCUGGUUCUCUGCAUAUUUUCACAACCUAGAGCGGACAAAGGAAAGGAUCACGUAUGCAAACAUAAUUCAGUGUGGUAAGUACAGGCAUACCUCCCUUUAAUGUGCUUGACUUUAUUGCACUUCACAGAUACAUAUUCUAACAAAUGGAAGGUUUGUGGGAACCCGGGAUCAAACAAGCCUAUCAGUGCCAUUUUUCCAAUAGCAUUUGCUCAUUUCAUGUCUAUGUCACAUUUUGGUAAUUCUUGCAAUAUUUCAAACUUUCUUCAUUUUACAUUUUGGUGAUCUGUGAUUGCUGAUGUUCCCGCUGUAAUUGUUUUGGGGCGCCAUGAACUGUACCCAUAUAAGAUGGCGAACUUAAUCGAUACAUGACAUGCGUAUUCUGACUGUUCAGUUCCCUCUCUCCCUCUCCUCCAGCCUCCCUAUUCCCUGAGACACAGUAUGAAAUUGGGCCAAUUAAUAACCCUACAGUGGCCUCUAAGUGUUCAAGGGAAACGAAGAGUGAGUUGCAGGUUUCUCAUUUGAAAUGUGGUGGUAUGAGAUGAUAAAAAUGCCAACACGAUGAGGUGCAGUGGGGUGAAUGAUGUAGGCAUGGCCACAUAGCAUUAGGCUACUAUUGACCUUCUGAGGACAGUCAAGAGGAGGAUCAUCUGAAUCUGGACUGUGGCUGACCAAGGGUAACUGACACUGUGAAAUGCACAACUCUGGAUGAGCGGGGACUACUGUGCUGGCUCCGUGCUGCAGAAGAGAAAACUUCCUAGGCUUACAUGGUAAGGAACUUGCUCAAAACCACAAAGCUAUUAAGAAGCAGAACUGAGAACUAAACUUGGGGGGGGGGGCGUUGGUGUGGCACCACAGCCCCCGGUAUAUGUCACUGACAAAAACUAUUUAAUAAGGACUACAGACUAAAAGAUCUAAAUGGGUAAAAACAACGAGCUUACAAUGGGCUUAUCUGUGUCUGAGAUUUGGGAAACAUUUAAACAGUAUAACAAUUGGUUUCUUCAUUACUGAGGUGGUAAGAUUUGUGGCUGUAUUAAUUCUGGCAGUGCAGUUCCUUCUUAAAGCAAUUCAGAAAGACACUGCUGAGUUCUUUGACAG